Molecule: unclassified non-coding RNA, 250 nt
Filed under: plant metagenome
Description: partial contains small subunit ribosomal RNA, internal transcribed spacer 1, and 5.8S ribosomal RNA
Source: RNAcentral
UUCUGCAGCGCAGCUCCGGAGACCUUGCACCCCAUAAGGGAGGCAGCACGACAGUAAACAAAGCUUGCCGUGUGCAAGUUGGCUUGGUAGCCAGCAACACAAUCGAAUUGACGGGGACCUCCUAAAGCCUGUAACACCAACCGUCCGGGGAAACUCGGGCGGGGCCCUCACGGGGUGGUAAGAGAGUACAGGAUGAACAAUGGACGAUCCGCAGCGAAGACCCUACCGGCGAGAGCCCACGGGUACCGUU